Molecule: transfer RNA, 66 nt
Filed under: Anagonalia melichari
Lineage: Eukaryota; Metazoa; Arthropoda; Insecta; Hemiptera; Cicadellidae
Description: tRNA-Trp
Source: RNAcentral
AAGACUUUAAGUUAAUAAAACUAUUAACCUUCAAAGUUAAAAUUAUCAAUUAUUUUUUAAGUCUUA